ACGGAGGGUGCAAGCGUUAUCCGGAUUCACUGGGUUUAAAGGGUGCGUAGGUGGGCAGGUAAGUCCGCGGUGAAAUCCCCGAGCUUAACUUGGGAACUGCCGUUGAUACUAUCUGUCUUGAAUAUCGUGGAGGUAAGCGGAAUAUGUCAUGUAGCGGUGAAAUGCUUAGAGAUGACAUAGAACACCAAUUGCGAAGGCAGCUUGCUACACGAUAAUUGACACUGAGGCACGAAAGCGUGGGGAGCAAACAGGAUUAGAUACCCUGGUAGUCCACGCCCUAAACUAUGGAUACUCGACAUCAGCGAUACACAGUUGGUGUCUGAGCGAAAGCAUUAAGUAUCCCACCUGGGAAGUACGAUCGCAAGAUUG
This 369-nucleotide ribosomal RNA is filed under the name uncultured bacterium. Its description in RNAcentral is "bacterial SSU rRNA". It matches the Rfam family "Bacterial small subunit ribosomal RNA", at positions 525 to 896 of the family's 1533-position model. The record is from RNAcentral.